CGGGGUGCACCAGGCGCGAAAACUUUGCAAUACACGAAAGUGUGACAGGGUCAUCCCGAGUGCCGACCGCUGAGGUUGGCUUUUACCCAGUCUAGAAAGCUGGGGGAAUAAGGAGAGGGCAAGUCUGGUGUCAGCCGCCGCGGUAAUACCAGCUCUCCGAGUGGUGUGGACGUUUAUUGGGCCUAAAGCAUCCGUAGCUGGCUGAACAAGUCCCCUGUUAAACCCACCGAUUUAAUCGUUGGUCUGCGGGGGAUACUGCUCGGCUAGGGGACGAGAGAGGCAGGCGGUAUUCUCGGGGUAGGGGUGAAAUCCUAUAAUCCCGGGAAGACCACCAGUGGCGAAGGCUGCCUGCUAGAGCGCGCCCGACGGUGAGGGAUGAAAGCUGGGGGAGCGAACCGGAUUAGGUACCCGGGUAGUCCCAGCUGUAAACGAUGCAGACUAGGUGUUUGGACGGCCACGUGCCGUUCUAGUGCCGCAGGGAAGCUGUUAAGUCUGCCGCCUGGGGAGUACGAUCGCAAGAUUGAAACUUAAAGGAAUUGGCGGGGGA
Molecule: ribosomal RNA, 547 nt
Filed under: uncultured archaeon
Lineage: Archaea
Description: bacterial SSU rRNA
Rfam family: Archaeal small subunit ribosomal RNA
Source: RNAcentral